AAAUUGAAGAGUUUGAUCAUGGCUCAGAUUGAACGCUGGCGGCAGGCCUAACACAUGCAAGUCGAGCGGAAACGAGUUAUCUGAACCUUCGGGGAACG
RNAcentral lists this ribosomal RNA (98 nucleotides) under Vibrio alginolyticus. RNAcentral describes it as "partial 16S ribosomal RNA". It matches the Rfam family "Bacterial small subunit ribosomal RNA", at positions 1 to 97 of the family's 1533-position model. The record is from RNAcentral. RNAcentral also lists the same sequence under 4 other names. Lineage: Bacteria; Pseudomonadati; Pseudomonadota; Gammaproteobacteria; Vibrionales; Vibrionaceae.